RNAcentral lists this ribosomal RNA (461 nucleotides) under uncultured bacterium. Its description in RNAcentral is "partial 16S ribosomal RNA". It matches the Rfam family "Bacterial small subunit ribosomal RNA", at positions 338 to 795 of the family's 1533-position model. The record is from RNAcentral.
CCUACGGGAGGCAGCAGUGAGGAAUAUUGGUCAAUGGGCGCAAGCCUGAACCAGCCAAGUCGCGUGAGGGAUGACGGUCCUAUGGAUUGUAAACCUCUUUUGUCGGGGAGCAAGGCCCGCCACGUGUGGCGGGCAGGAGAGUACCCGAAGAAAAAGCAUCGGCUAACUCCGUGCCAGCAGCCGCGGUCAUACGGAGGAUGCGAGCGUUAUCCGGAUUUAUUGGGUUUAAAGGGAGCGUAGGUGGAUUGUUAAGUCAGUUGUGAAAGUUUGCGGCUCAACCGUAAAAUUGCAGUUGAAACUGGCAGUCUUGAGUACAGUAGAGGUGGGCGGAAUUCGUGGUGUAGCGGUGAAAUGCUGAGAUAUCACGAAGAACUCCGAUUGCGAAGGCAGUUCACUGGACUGCAACUGACACUGAGGCUCGAAAGUGUGGGUAUCAAACAGGAUUAGAUACCCGAGUAGUC